Molecule: ribosomal RNA, 577 nt
Filed under: uncultured bacterium
Lineage: Bacteria
Description: bacterial SSU rRNA
Rfam family: Bacterial small subunit ribosomal RNA
Source: RNAcentral
CCGUUCAAUACUGCGGAGCUCGAGGGCAGAAGAGGGGGGUGGAAUUGCUGGUGUAGUGGUGAAAUGCGUAGAUAUCAGCAGGAACACCUGUGGCGAAAGCGGCCCCCUGGUCUGCUCCUGACACUCAGACGCGAAAGCUAGGGGAGUGAACGGGAUUAGAAACCCCGGUAAUCCUAGCCGUAAACGAUGGGUGCUAGGUGUGGGUGGUAUUGACCCCAUCCGUGCCGAAGCCAACGCGUUAAGCAUCCCGCCUGGGGACUACGGCCGCAAGGUUAAAACUCAAAGGAAUUGACGGGGACCCGCACAAGCAGCGGAGCGUGUGGUUUAAUUCGAUGCUACACGAAGAACCUUACCCAGGUUUGACAUGCAGGUAGUAGUGAAGCGAAAGCGGAACGAUCCUUCGGGAAGCCUGCACAGGUGCUGCAUGGCUGUCGUCAGCUCGUGCCGUGAGGUGUUUGGUUAAGUCCACUAACGAGCGCAACCCCUGUCGUCAGUUACAUGUGUCUGGCGAGACUGCCGGUCUUAAACCGGAGGAAGGUGGGGAUGACGUCAAGUCAGCAUGGCCUUUAUAUCUGGG